ACGAUCCAUAGCUGGUCUGAGAGGAUGAUCAGCCACAUUGGGACUGAGACACGGCCCAAACUCCUACGGGAGGCAGCAGUGGGGAAUAUUGGACAAUGGGCGCAAGCCUGAUCCAGCCAUGCCGCGUGAGUGAUGAAGGCCCUAGGGUUGUAAAGCUCUUUCACCGGUGAAGAUAAUGACGGUAACCGGAGAAGAAGCCCCGGCUAACUUCGUGCCAGCAGCCGCGGUAAUACGAAGGGGGCUAGCGUUGUUCGGAAUUACUGGGCGUAAAGCGCACGUAGGCGGAUUGUUAAGUGAGGGGUGAAAUCCCAGGGCUCAACCCUGGAACUGCCUUUCAUACUGGCAAUCUAGAGUCCAGAAGAGGUGAGUGGAAUUCCG
This 378-nucleotide ribosomal RNA is filed under the name Ensifer meliloti. Its description in RNAcentral is "Sinorhizobium meliloti bacterial SSU rRNA". It matches the Rfam family "Bacterial small subunit ribosomal RNA", at positions 276 to 671 of the family's 1533-position model. The record is from RNAcentral. Lineage: Bacteria; Pseudomonadati; Pseudomonadota; Alphaproteobacteria; Hyphomicrobiales; Rhizobiaceae.